Molecule: ribosomal RNA, 253 nt
Filed under: uncultured bacterium
Lineage: Bacteria
Description: partial 16S ribosomal RNA
Rfam family: Bacterial small subunit ribosomal RNA
Source: RNAcentral
UACGAAGGGGGCUAGCGUUGUCCGGAUUUAUUGGGCGUAAAGAGCGUGUAGGCGGCCAUACAGGUCCGUUGUGAAAACUCGAGGCUUAACCUCGAGACGUCGAUGGAAACCGUAUGGCUAGAGUCCGGAAGGGGAGAGUGGAAUUCCUGGUGUAGCGGUGAAAUGCGCAGAUAUCAGGAAGAACACCCGUGGCGAAGGCGGCUCUCUGGGACGGUACUGACGCUGAGACGCGAAAGCGUGGGGAGCGAACAGG